This 492-nucleotide ribosomal RNA is filed under the name uncultured bacterium. Its description in RNAcentral is "partial 16S ribosomal RNA". It matches the Rfam family "Bacterial small subunit ribosomal RNA", at positions 29 to 507 of the family's 1533-position model. The record is from RNAcentral.
AGUGAACGCUGGCGGUAGGCCUAACACAUGCAAGUCGAACGGCAGCACAGUAAGAGCUUGCUCUUACGGGUGGCGAGUGGCUGACGGGUGAGGAAUACAUCGGAAUCUACUUUUUCGUGGGGGAUAACGUAGGGAAACUUACGCUAAUACCGCAUACGACCUACGGGUGAAAGCAGGGGAUCUUCGGACCUUGCGCGAUUGAAUGAGCCGAUGUCGGAUUAGCUAGUUGGCGGGGUAAAGGCCCACCAAGGCGACGAUCCGUAGCUGGUCUGAGAGGAUGAUCAGCCACACUGGAACUGAGACACGGUCCAGACUCCUACGGGAGGCAGCAGUGGGGAAUAUUGGACAAUGGGCGCAAGCCUGAUCCAGCUAUACCGCGUGGGUGAAGAAGGCCUUCGGGUUGUAAAGCCCUUUUGUUGGGAAAGAAAAGCAGCAGGUUAAUACCCCGCUGUUCUGACGGUACCCAAAGAAUAAGCACCGGCUAACUUCGUG